CCUACGGGGGGCAGCAGUGGGGAAUAUUGCACAAUGGGGGAAACCCUGAUGCAGCGACGCCGCGUGAGUGAAGAAGUAAUUCGUUAUGUAAAGCUCUAUCAGCAGGGAAGAAAAUGACGGUACCUGAGUAAGAAGCCCCGGCUAACUACGUGCCAGCAGCCGCGGUAAUACGUAGGGGGCAAGCGUUAUCCGGAUUUACUGGGUGUAAAGGGAGCGUAGACGGGAGUGCAAGUCUGGAGUGAAAGGCGGGGGCUCAACCCCCGGACUGCUCUGGAAACUGUACGGCUGGAGUGCAGGAGAGGUAAGUGGAAUUCCUAGUGUAGCGGUGAAAUGCGUAGAUAUUAGGAAGAACACCAGUGGCGAAGGCAGCUUACUGGACUGUAACUGACGUUGAGGCUCGAAAGCGUGGGGAGCGAACAGGAUUAGAUACCCGAGUAGUC
This 440-nucleotide ribosomal RNA is filed under the name uncultured bacterium. RNAcentral's name for it is "partial 16S ribosomal RNA". It matches the Rfam family "Bacterial small subunit ribosomal RNA", at positions 338 to 795 of the family's 1533-position model. The record is from RNAcentral.